AGUGAUCUCUUGGUCUCUGAAAUGCCAUCAAUGGGACUAAAUAAAAUACUAGACAUUCAAGCUUCCACUUCACUCUCUUAUGCUUAAUUUACUGAGCAACCAAACAAAAAGCACAUGAAAUAUGUGUUGCUUUUGUUUCUCUAAUCAUGAAAUAUAAAGCCACAAGCUUCACCAUGCAAAUAUAAACCUAACCCAAGAAAAAAAGGGCAGCGAACCCCAAAUAAAACAUGCCAAUCUCUAGAAGUCAACACGUUACAUCUGCCUGUUUGGAAGCUAAGGAAAUGCUGGAAAACUCCAUACAUCCAAAUCUUUGUAGCUCAACUCAAUCAAUUGGGUCCAUAUACUUCUAUUUACCUAGGAAAUUUUUCCCAAAUUGCCAACACAAACAGCAUAAAGAAAAAGACCCUUUAAUUUUUACAGUCUAUCGAGUUUUUCCCCUCAGUUUCUCAGCAGCCAAGCAAAACCCACAUAAAAAAAUUCCCAAUCUAACCCAAACCAUGAAGAUGAGAAAUGUCAGUCCCAUUUCCAUUCAAUUCAAUGAUCGAUAGAGAAACCUGGAAAUGCGACACAAGAAAAU
Molecule: unclassified non-coding RNA, 577 nt
Filed under: Hevea brasiliensis (rubber tree)
Lineage: Eukaryota; Viridiplantae; Streptophyta; Magnoliopsida; Malpighiales; Euphorbiaceae
Source: RNAcentral